AUUACCUUCUUUGCCACAGCACUCACUCUCAAUACACUAUAAAUUCCAUAAUUUCUAAUCCUUGAAUCAUAAACCUUCAAACCUUCCAUUCUCAUUCUCAAGCACUUUCUCUUUCUUUGCAAUCACGAAAUGGCACCAAAAAGAAAAGUUGUGUAUGAUAUAUCUUCUGCAAAGAAGGAAAAGGAGUAGCUGCUUCAUCGAAACCGAAAGAAAUUGAGCAAGUGGAAGAGCUAUCUGAUAGCUCUUCAAGCAGUCCUCCAAUAACUCAAUUGUGAAGAAGGGCGAAACAUUUGGCACCUGUUAGAGGAAGGAGAAUAUUGAGGUCAAGCCAUGUAGCAUCAUCAAUUGGCAAAACUACACCCGUCCCUGCAUUCACCACUCAAUCAACUUCAGAAUCCACACCGUAAGAAUCAUCUUCUACUACUCUACCAACUCAGAGGCAAGAGGUUAGAAAGAAGGAGCUAGCACAACCAUCCGCUCAAUCGGACAAAAUUAGGUUCCAGACCAUUUAUGCAAGUAUGUUUCAUCUAUCUUAAAUUCUACAAUUUCUUGUGCAGGGUUGUCUACACUUAACAUAACCAAGAACUACACUAAAUGUAGAUGCCUCCACCCUAAAGACAGGACAACUCAUUGAAACAUUCAUAUCUUUGAAUUGAAUAAUGAUUUCCAAAUGAACAUAAAAUAAUUAACCAAAGGAAGUUAAUGAAACAUAUAUGAUGCAUGUAACAACAAAGGACAAGUUUUAGUAUCAUAAAAUCCAAGUAAAUAUCCAGGAAUUUUUGAAGCGGAGGCUAUAGUGCUUCAUUCUAUUAUUGGAAAAUCUGAUGAAAGCACUACAUACUGUAUAACAGAUGCUUAUUCAGAAUCCUGGCUCACUUCUCCAUCAUCAGAUAACUCAUCAAACGAUCUGAUGUCAAGCUGGUAGCGUAGGAUACCACCAAUACCACCAAAUCCUCUGCAAAACUGUGAUCCCUCUUGGGAUUUGUUGGUCACAAAUUCCAGUGAGCAUCCAAAUUUUUUGUACUCAUUCGCAAACCACUCAAGCAACGGCAUCUUCUCCUGAACUUCUAACUCUGCAGAGGUGACAGGAUCUCUGAAAUUGCUCUGAUUAGCCUCUUGCUCCUUGUUGAAGUGCUUUAUGAGAAUCUCACCAGUAGAACUAUCUUUUUGUACAUAUCUGUUAAUAUCCAAAUUUUCCCACACAAUGAGUAUUUCCACAGCACCCAUCUCCAGAGCCUUCAAUGUGUCAUCAACCCCAAACACGUAUUUCCCAGUAUCCUGGCUGAUUUCCUCGAAGUAUUUUCCUAUCAAUCGUUUUUCUUGAAUGAAUUUCACAUUAGAUAACAGUUCUGCAGAUAACUCAAUAGCUUGGUUAAAGCCAUUUUCUCCACCAUAGGAAACAUCAACCACAUUCAAUAUUUUGGCUUGCAAUCGAGGAUCAAACAUAUCUGACUGGCUAAGCUCUGUCUUGAAGUCAGCUGAACCAGCAAGUAUAAGUCCAGAAACAUUGGGUUGACUAGUAGCAGGAUUGAUGAAAAACUGAGUAGCAAGUUCUGCAGUCUUCCUGACAUAAUUGUGUCUCUUUUCCAUGCGAAGACGAGCAAAACGCAAAGCAGAUUGCCCUCCUCUACCGUGUUUCUUUGGUAGAUCAACAGUAAAUUUAUGAAGCACUUCACGUGUAUUUCCACUUAGAGUCCCAAAAAGGGUUCCAUUUCCAUCCAUAAUAAUAAAACCAAACUUGUCAUCAGAUUCUAAAAGUUCAUUAAGAGCUUCUGUGUGAAACUUGUUGUCACAGAGGUAAAGUGACGCAUUUAUAGGCUUGAAAGGUUCAAAAUCAAAUGUCACCUUUUUUUCCUUGCCAUCGUCUGUGACAAUGGUGCCAGUAUACAGGACCAAACCAUUGGGAGGAACCUUAUUAUACAGUUUCAACCUCUGUUGAGCAGAAGUAAUCGCAGCCAACACUGACUGCCGGUUCACCCUACUUUUGAUAUUUGAAGCAGUUCCAUAUUCAUCUCCCAACAUCUUAGUGACACGAGAAAUUUGAUCACGAGGAGGCAUAAUCAGAGAAAUCAUGCUUGUACCAUUUCCUCUUGCAGAUUCCAAUGCUUUGAUCAAUUUCUUGAUCUUCCAUAUCUCAAUAUUCUUGUCUGAUUCAUGACCAUCAGCCAUUGUAGGCAAUAACAGAAAGAAUAGCCUAAAACUGUAACCAAAUGGAAGGUGACGAUCAUAUAACCAUCACACAAAAACACUUCCAAAAUCACAAAUAAAUUAGUAUAUUUACUUGUAUUAUUGAACAAUAUUAACAUAAUUAAGAAGGAAUACUAUUUAUAUCUGAUACGUAGGCAUGCUUAGUGGAUGCUGACAGAAUCAAACACCAGUAAAUUGAUAAAGGAUCUUCUUCAAUGAUUGUAGACUCAAAUAAGCAUUAGCAGUGAAGCACGUGAGAACAGCAGUGCCUAACCCAAGAUCCAACAGAACUCUAGGCACAAGGUGCUCAAAAUAAUUUAUAAAUGAUAUCAUAGCUUGAAGAAUAAUUACAUAAGUUCAUUACAGUAAACAACCACUUACAGUAAACAACCACCACAACAACUGAACAUAACUUUAAUACCUGCAAGCUACCAUGAUUUCAUAAUUGGUAAAGUAAAGCAAAGUUACAGAGGAACAGUGGUCCCACGAGUAACAAAAACUUUGAUUAGAAAUGUAUCAGAUACCGUUGACAGGUGAAAAAAUUGAAUCCAAAAUAAAUAAAAAUAAUUAUUACACAAACAGAAAUCCGUAAGAUCGCCACUUCUGCAAAAAAAAAAAAGUUAACUGCAAACAAAGGAAUUCCAUUAGUAUUGGUUUUAAAGCCUGAAACCUAUCAGUCAACCAAAGUUCAUAUUUUCACACUUCCUUCUCCAUUUUCGUUCAAAAGACCCAAACUUAGUUAGAGUCAACUUCAGUAUUUUCAUUAUCUGUAUUAACAAAAUAAAAAUAAAAUAUAUUUUUUAAAGGGUCCAAUUUUCAAGUCAAAGCCUGGGAAUUUAAAGUCAUACUGCAACCCCAGAUGGAUAUCCUGCUAUCAACAGUACCCAGAAACAAAUCAAACCAAAUAAGAAAACUUGCUUCUGAAAAACCAUAAAUAAAUAGAAAAAAGUUGACGAGCAGAAGGUCCAAGUUGUGAUUGGAGCAAAUCUAGGAAAAAAAAAUUGAAGUGAUGUGUAUGUACUCACCUUUGUGUAUGUUUGGGUGAGAAAUGAGAAUCUCUCCGGCUAGGGUUUUGGUGUGCGCUUCUGGAGCAGAAACGAUGAAGAGAAGAAGGAGAAUUUUUUAUGGAUUAUUAAAACUAAUCUUCUCUGCUUUGUUUUAUAUUAUUGAACGUUCUUUUCUUACAUUAAGCUAAAUUGUUCUGUUGUGUUGACGUGAAUUUGUUAAUUUCUUUUCCUAAACAUCUAUUAAUUAUUCAUAAGAUGUAAUUAAUGUAAUAACUAUUGUAAAAAACAUCUAUUGUGGAAAGGCUUGC
Molecule: small RNA, 3502 nt
Filed under: Vigna angularis var. angularis
Lineage: Eukaryota; Viridiplantae; Streptophyta; Magnoliopsida; Fabales; Fabaceae
Description: Non-protein coding transcript
Source: RNAcentral